This 353-nucleotide ribosomal RNA is filed under the name Leptospira borgpetersenii serovar Ballum. RNAcentral describes it as "partial 23S ribosomal RNA". It matches the Rfam family "Bacterial large subunit ribosomal RNA", at positions 1655 to 2140 of the family's 2925-position model. Lineage: Bacteria; Pseudomonadati; Spirochaetota; Leptospiria; Leptospirales; Leptospiraceae. The record is from RNAcentral.
CAACACAGGUGUGCGUUUAAGGAAAGAUUAAAUAGGCCAGAAGGAACUCGGCAAACACAAGCUCCGCCUGUUUACCAAAAACAUCACCUCUAGCAUCUCAAGUAUUAGAGGCACUGCCUGCCCAGUGACAUAGUUAAACGGCCGCGGUAUCCUGACCUUGCAAAGGUAGCAUAAUCACUUGUUCUUUAAUUAAGGACUCGCAUGAAUGGCUUCACGAGAGCUUAACUGUCUCCUGACCUAAAUCAGUGAAAUUGACCUUCCCGUGCAGAGGCGGGAAUAUCCUUACAAGACGAGAAGACCCUAUGGAGCUUAAGAUUCAUAGUCUAACCUAACUCAACAAAACCCUACAUGGA